UAUUGUAUAUAUCAACCAACGUAUUAUUAAACCAUUGAGCAGAGAUUGAUGAAAUAUUAACGUACAAUAAUUCCUCCAAAAAUUUCUUCUAAUCAUCGUCCGCUGUGUGCCAAUCUAAAUUUGCUAAACGGGAGAAGAACUAAGGACGCUUCACAGUCUUCGUGAGAUAAUUUUAAAUAUUUAAAAGCGGCAUUUACUUUCCAUUUUUGUAAGCACAUGUGAGCGGCACAGUCUAAAGAAGGAUGAGUGAUUUCAACACACGAAUUGAUAGCACGCGACGUCACGAACGCCCAACCUGGUGUUCGCCAAACACGAUCUAUCGAUAUUAGUUGGCAACAACGACUUGCUCAUCAACGCCAAGUACAUCGCUUAAGGAUGAAACUCGAUCAGUUUGACGAACUUGACGACUUAUUCUUUUUCAGUGUUAUAUACUUAUUCUUCCUCCUAAUUUUAAACCUUCUUAAUAAUUACUCUUAAUAUAUAACCACUUUAAUAACAACUGCUCAACCUUAACUAGUAAAAAAAAUUAUUUUGAUAAGACGAGAAGCGAACGUCAUCAAAAAGACAUAAUUAGCCAGGAAAUUUUAUUGAUACCGAGAGUACGCAUGCAGCAAACGAGAAUUCUCAGGACACAAUUAGGUUUACGGCCACACCAUUGCACGUGUAAUUCCUGCAACAUGAAUAAUUCUAUCAACUUCCCGAGAAUCUGUACCGAUAUUAAUCGAGAAUAAUCGCCGUGGAUCCCCUUUCUCGCUAGCAAAUACGCUGACCAUUAGCGUUCAUAGAAUCAUCGAACGUGCUACUUCAUUCCACGUAUUUCAGAUGUUUCAACGUACAUGAGCAAUAUAUACCAUGCCAAAUUGUGAAAUCUUAUCGCUCAAUAACGAAGAGACCACGUUACUCGUUAAUUAUAUGCUCAUGAUAAGAUGCUUAUAGAUGCUUAUAAACCUAUGCGUUAUAGUGUUUACACUUAUAGAGAUAUCUUUUAUGAAUAUAUGUACGCUACACGGAAUGGUUUGAUGUCAUUAAUACCGUUAUGAAACUCGACGUAAUAUGUUUAAUUAAUACAUUUAUACACUUAAUACAUUUUCAGAUUGGUUUCAAAUUUUACCUAUACAGUCAUGGCGAUCUUUUGUCAUUACAGCGUUAAUGAAAUUUCAAUAUGUUUUACGUAAUAUCUACAAUAUGGACUUAAAAGUUUUCUAUGCCGUCUAUCACUCGUAAUCAUUAACAAAAUUCUUUGUCGAAAUUAGUAUCAGGAAACUUUCCUACUGGGCCAUUGCGCAUUCAGUUAAGCUCUGAAUGAUUUAUGUGCGUUGAAGCAGAGCUGAACAACGCUAACGUAGCGAAUUGGCUACUAUUUGUAUCUGUUUUCACGUUAAUUGAUAAGAUACGUCCAAAGAUAGAAAUGCUGUGACUGAUGCUAGUCAGAGUAUGAUGAAACCGACUGCAUACUCGACCACACGCUGAUGUAAAAUGAAAUCAGAGUGGAUUGGAACAAUGGGACCACAGAGGAAGCUGAACCGCGGAUAUCAGCAGGAACAAUCUAGCAAGCACGAAAAUUACCAUGCAAUUAAAUUACAAAACUCGAUCGCGAUUUCGUGAUUAGAAAGCUUAUACGUAAAUCAUUCGUACCGAUAUCGGACAAAUAACAAAAUAAUAACUUUGCACGAAUAAAUAGAUUCCCAAGGAUCGAGGGAUUCCUAAGGAAUAAGGCAAACGAGACUCGUGAACUUGACGUUGGUGAUGAAAAUAAAUCGUACUCGAAUAUCAAAUAAUUUAACUGGUUGGCUAUACCUAUCUUCUUUAAACUGACACUGAAAUAGAAAUACGCAAGAACGAAAAUAGAUCGGAGGGAUGAACUUAUGAUAUUCGACAGAGAUUUCGUUUAAUGCUUCAGUAAUGAAUUGGCAAUAUUGUAAUUAAUUAUUGGAUAAAAAUUAUUUUCACUAAAAGAUAUAAUUAUUUGCAAAUUUUAAAAUGAGAUAAAUAUUUCUUGUAUAUUUCGUUUAAAAUAGUAACAGAUUUACAUUUAAUAGUAACAAGGAAUCUAGUAAUAUAUUAAACAUAUAAAUAUGUAAAACACCGU
Bombus huntii is the source of this 2089-nucleotide long non-coding RNA. RefSeq lists it as uncharacterized. The record is from RefSeq and is a predicted model, not a curated record. The transcript is spliced from 3 exons. Lineage: Eukaryota; Metazoa; Arthropoda; Insecta; Hymenoptera; Apidae.